Non-coding RNA from Vidua chalybeata, 71 nucleotides. The record is from the annotation of a RefSeq genome assembly. Lineage: Eukaryota; Metazoa; Chordata; Aves; Passeriformes; Viduidae.
GGAUUAGCUCAGUUGGUCAGAGCGUGGUGCUAACACUGCCAAGGUUGUGGGUUCAAUCCCCAUAUGGGCCA